AUAUUCUGGUUUAUCUUCAGAUUGCUUAAAUCUAUGCUUUUUGCUAAAGAUUAUCAUGGAGAGAAACAAUUCUGAGUUUUCAACUAAUUUUUUGAAGCCUUGCUUCUGUAAGGAC
Small nuclear RNA from Sorex araneus (European shrew), 115 nucleotides. Its record names the gene U5. It matches the Rfam family "U5 spliceosomal RNA". From Rfam's summary of the family: U5 RNA is a component of both types of known spliceosome. The precise function of this molecule is unknown, though it is known that the 5' loop is required for splice site selection and p220 binding, and that both the 3' stem-loop and the Sm site are important for Sm protein binding and cap methylation. The record is from Ensembl. Lineage: Eukaryota; Metazoa; Chordata; Mammalia; Eulipotyphla; Soricidae.